UUCUUUCCUCAUCUAUGUUUUUCGUGUUGCAGUUGUGGCCCAUGUGCUAGAAGUAAUCCCCGACCUCAGGCAAUGGAUCAAUGGCUUAGUGUCUCAGAAGUCUUACUCCGAGCGUGCUUAGACAGAGAUAUCAAAGGGUCAAUGGAGGCUUGAAACCACGGUCUCGGGAAGGAUGUAACAAUGAGGCCCUCGUCUGGUGAUGAAGAAUCCUUCCCCCACCAUCUGUCUCGAAACCGGCAAAGGAGAAGAAGAGAAAAAGGGCUUCGGUUUCCACGAACUCUGAGGGGCAGAAAACCCCAAAAGAAAAUAGCCCUAAACCUAAGGGGAACGUCAUCCCUAUAACUUUGGAGUCAGUCCAACGGCUAAGGGAUGAUGCCGAAGAAGAAGAAGACUCCGGGCUGGUGGACCGUGUGCGAGCUGGCACCGAGAUCCAAGGAACUACUAGGUCGGCGGGAGAUGAAAGUGUUCUGUCUCGAUUUGAUGAAGUCCCCGAGCCAGAAAGAGCUGGAGACACUUCACCUCGAGGUGAGAGGGCUAUCGAAGAGGCGGUCGAUGUUGGUGUAAUAACCAUGCUCGAGACUUCAAGAGAUGAAGGCAGUGCCCAAAAGAUUUACUUGGGAUAGUAGAUAUCGGAUAUUCUACUUUGUUUCCUUCAUUCACUGAGUCGAUGAUACAUGAAGCUUAGGCGAUGGAGACUUGCCACGGGGGAUGAGUCCAUGGAGUAGAAGACCCUUUCCGUGGCUAUUUUGUUGGAGUGGAAGAUGUCACCGGUCUAGGUGACUUGGAUGUACUGAGGAAGAGAUCGAGUGAGGCUUCCUCGAGCAUUAAACUGACCAUUCAGAUUUUGGCCCUCAGUGUCGAUCCCGGGCGUAGUGAUCAAUUAUCAUCUCGGUCCCGAAGGAUGCUCGAGUUUUUUCUGCCCCCGUAGGGGUGGCUAGCUAUCUCCGAUGUUUAGUCACCGAAGAAGUCCAAGCCAAGAUGGAUGAGGUGGAAGUUGCCUGUUUGUUCAACAAGGCCCAGCAUGCUCUAAAUUGGGCUUAGGUGUUUCAUCACGAGGCUUUCAUUAGAAUACGAGAGGAGCAUAAGACUGAGGUUUAGAGCCUUACUGAGAAAAGUGAUACCUAUAAGCUUCUCAAUAAGAAGCUUUAGGCAAAUCUGAUGAUGGCUCGAGAUGAAGAUGCUGAGAUGGCCAAGCAGCUUUGAUGGAGGCUCGAACAGAUCAAGGACCUUCAGAGACAAAUAGAUGAAAUACGAGACGAAGCUGAAAAGUUCAAGGGGUGUAUGGACAUCUUAGCUUCAAAAAAAGAGGCCGUCCAAGCAUAGCUGGAGUCGGCCGAGUCUCAGCUUCGGACUGCAAGGGAGAAAGCCUUGGUACAAGCAAAGAAAAUUAAGGAGCUUCAGUCCAACUUAGCCGACUUGGCCAAAGAGCUCGAAAUGGUUAAAUCUGAGACGGAGGGGCCAACAUCAAGGCCCAAGUAUAUGUGACCCAAUACAAGGUCGGUGUCGAAGCUACUCAAGCACAAGACAAGAUCAUGGUGGAUCAUGCGAAGUGGCAAGCUCGAAGGGAGGCCCUCGAGGGAACCCUUGUUCAGGGUUUUGAUAUAUCCGCUGAAAUUGAGAUUGCUAGAGCAAAAAAAAUAAGGGCUCGAAAACUGGCUUUCCCUGAGGAAGACUCCAAGAGUUUGAGCGAAUCUGGUGGAGAAGACUUUGAGGGCAAAGAAACUUCCUCCGAGAAGGACCAGG
Nicotiana tabacum (common tobacco) is the source of this 1743-nucleotide long non-coding RNA. RefSeq lists it as uncharacterized. The record is from RefSeq and is a predicted model, not a curated record. Lineage: Eukaryota; Viridiplantae; Streptophyta; Magnoliopsida; Solanales; Solanaceae.